CCCGCGCUCCUCCGGGCAGAGCGCGUGUGGCGGCCGAGCACAUGGGCCCGCGGGCCGGGCGGGCUCGGGGCGGCCGGGACGAGGAGGGGCGACGACGAGCUGCGAGCAAAGAUGUGCCCCGGGACCCCCGGCACCUUCCAGUGGAUUUCCUUGCGGAAAGGAUGUUGGCGGUCCCUGUGACCUGUGGAGACACGGCCAGAUCUGCCCUCCAGAUUUAUUAGGAGAAAAACCUUCCCGGAAGCUGCAGAAGGACAAAUACAGAAUCCGUGUCUGGGAGAAACCUCGUGGCCUGGUCUCCAUUAUUUGAGAUGAGUUACAUCUUGGAGGCCUGAUCUUUUGGCCAGAAGGAGAUUAAAAAGAUGCCCCUCAAGAUGGCUGUGCCUGUCAGCUGCAUGGAGCUUCGUUCAAGUAUUUUCUGAGCCUGAUGGAUUUACAGUGAUCUUCAGUGGUCUGGGGAAUAACGCUGGUGGAACCAUGCACUGGAAUGACACACGCCCGGCACAUUUCAGGAUACUAAAAGUGGUUUUAAGGGAGGCUGUGGCUGAAUGCCUCAUGGAUUCUUACAGCUUGGAUGUCCAUGGGGGACGAAGGACUGCAGCUGGCUGAGAGGGUUGAGAUCUCUGUUUACUUAGAUCUCUGCCAACUUCCUUUGGGUCUCCCUAUGGAAUGUAAGACCCCGACUCUUCCUGGUGAAGCAUCUGAUGCACGUUCCAUCCGGCGCUCAGCUGGGCUUGAGAAUCAAGAGAUGCAUAUGCAGGUUUGUUACAGAGGUAUAUGGGAUGCGGUUGAAGUUUGGAGUAUGAUUGAACUCAUCACGCAGCUGACCAUACUCCCUGGAGCCUUCUCCCGAGGUGCGCGGGUGACCUUGGCACAUACAGCCAUCAUGAUGGUACUUUAAGUGGAGGCUGAAUCAUCUCCCCUUUGAGCUGCUUGGCACGUGGCUCCCUUGGUGUUCCCCUUUUACUGCCAGGACACUGAGAUUUGGAGAGACCCCGGCCUUUCCAGGAUGCCUUUUGGAGCCCCUGCUGGCCACCACAUAUCAUGUUCUGAAGUUCUACAGCCCUCUGAGUUGGACACUGACCAUCUGGGGGCUCGAGUCAUCCUCAGAUUGAAUCCUGUUACACCUGGGAUUUAGGCACUUUCAAUCUGAAAAAAUACAUAUCCUUUCAGCACUCUGGACGGACUUGAGAACUGUCCUUACGUGACCUAAAGCUGGAGUAUUUUGAGAUUGGAGAAUUAAGAGUGUGGGCACCCUGGCUUCAAGCUCACGAGAAACCAGAAGGAAGUCACUGUGCAUAGCCAUCCCCUAAGAAGAGGGCAUUCCUGCUCUUCCUUCUCCAUGGCUAGAGGAUCUACAUGAACUAUUUAGAUUUUUUCUACCUGGGAGAUUUAACUCCUCUCUCCUAUUUAUUUAUUUAUAUAUCAGCAUGGACUUGCAGGCCAACAGAGAUUUUGAGAAACACAUUGAAGGAUCUGUUAACACUUGAUAUACCCAAUAAAAGCAGUGGUUGUGCCAGUGCUGAUCUGUCUUGAUGUGAAUGUGAACAAUGGGAACCUGAGCUGAGCAGUUAAUGCUAGGGUGACAGAAACUGGACCUCUCCCAAGACAUGUGACAGAGUAAUACAGCAGCCAACUUCUUCGCCAAAUUAAAGUUUUACAAGAUUUAACCUGUCAUCAAGACCUGGGAUUUUGGUGAAGGACAGAAUAACGGGCUCCCAGAUUCACAAGCCCCACCAAGAGGAUCACCCCAGGAACGCUUGGAGGCUGAGGAGUUCACUGAGGCUACUGCAUCUUGAGACUCAGGAUGAAGACCCAGCUUGGGGCUGUCAAAGGUUUUUUGCAUGUCUGACACCCAUGACUCCACCUGGACCUUAUGGCUCCACCCAGAAGCAAUUCAGCCCAACAGGAGGACAGCUUCAACCCAUUACGAUUUCAUCUCUGCCCCAACCACUCAGCAGCAAGCACCUGUUACCUGUCCACCCCCACCCCUUCCCCCAAACUGCCUUUGAAAAAUCCCUAACCUAUGAGCUUUGAAUAAGAUGAGUACGAACUUCAUCGCCCACGUGGCGUGGCCGGCCUCGUGUCUAUUAAAUUCUUUUUCUACUACAA
RNAcentral lists this long non-coding RNA (2109 nucleotides) under Homo sapiens (human). RNAcentral describes it as "Pvt1 oncogene, transcript variant 8 (PVT1)". The stretch from base 34 to 211 matches the Rfam family "Pvt1 oncogene conserved region 1". Lineage: Eukaryota; Metazoa; Chordata; Mammalia; Primates; Hominidae. The record is from RNAcentral.